CAGUCGCCGCGGUAAUACAGAGGGUGCAAGCGUUAAUCGGAAUUACUGGGCGUAAAGCGCGCGUAGGUGGUUUGUUAAGUUGGAUGUGAAAUCCCCGGGCUCAACCUGGGAACUGCAUCCAAAACUGGCAGGCUAGAGUAGGGCAGAGGGUGGUGGAAUUUCCUGUGUAGCGGUGAAAUGCGUAGAUAUAGGAAGGAACACCAGUGGCGAAGGCGACCACCUGGGCUCAUACUGACACUGAGGUGCGAAAGCGUGGGGAGCAAACAGGAUUAGAUACCCGAGUAGUCCCUGUCUCUUAUAA
RNAcentral lists this ribosomal RNA (301 nucleotides) under uncultured bacterium. Its description in RNAcentral is "partial 16S ribosomal RNA". It matches the Rfam family "Bacterial small subunit ribosomal RNA", at positions 509 to 809 of the family's 1533-position model. The record is from RNAcentral.